GACGAACGCUGGCGGCGUGCCUAAUACAUGCAAGUAGAACGCUGAAGAGAGGAGCUUGCUCUUCUUGGAUGAGUUGCGAACGGGUGAGUAACGCGUAGGUAACCUGCCUUGUAGCGGGGGAUAACUAUUGGAAACGAUAGCCAAUACCGCAUAACAAUGGAUGACACAUGUCAUUUAUUUGAAAGGGGCAAUUGCUCCACUACAAGAUGGACCUGCGUUGUAUUAGCUAGUAGGUGAGGUAAUGGCUCACCUAGGCGACGAUACAUAGCCGACCUGAGAGGGUGAUCGGCCACACUGGGACUGAGACACGGCCCAGACUCCUACGGGAGGCAGCAGUAGGGAAUCUUCGGCAAUGGGGGCAACCCUGACCGAGCAACGCCGCGUGAGUGAAGAAGGUUUUCGGAUCGUAAAGCUCUGUUGUAAGUCAAGAACGGGUGUGAGAGUGGAAAGUUCACACUGUGACGGUAGCUUACCAGAAAGGGACGGCUAACUACGUG
This 497-nucleotide ribosomal RNA is filed under the name uncultured bacterium. Its description in RNAcentral is "partial 16S ribosomal RNA". It matches the Rfam family "Bacterial small subunit ribosomal RNA", at positions 28 to 507 of the family's 1533-position model. The record is from RNAcentral.